GACGAACGCUGGCGGCGUGCUUAACACAUGCAAGUCGAACGGAAAGGCCCUGCUUUUGUGGGGUGCUCGAGUGGCGAACGGGUGAGUAACACGUGAGUAACCUGCCCUUGACUUUGGGAGAACUUCAGGAAACUGGGGCUAAUACCGGAUAGGAGCUCCUGCUGCAUGGUGGGGGUUGGAAAGUUUCGGCGGUUGGGGAUGGACUCGCGGCUUAUCAGCUUGUUGGUGGGGUAGUGGCUUACCAAGGCUUUGACGGGUAGCCGGCCUGAGAGGGUGACCGGGCACAUUGGGACUGAGAUACGGCCCAGGCUCCUACGGAAGGCAGCAGUGGGGAAUAUUGCACAAUGGGCGGAAGCCUGAUGCAGCAACGCCGCGUGCGGGAUGACGGCCUUCGGGUUGUAAACCGCUUUCGCCUGUGACGAAGCGUGAGUGACGGUAAUGGGUAAAGAAGCACCGGCUAACUACGUG
This 468-nucleotide ribosomal RNA is filed under the name uncultured bacterium. RNAcentral describes it as "partial 16S ribosomal RNA". It matches the Rfam family "Bacterial small subunit ribosomal RNA", at positions 28 to 507 of the family's 1533-position model. The record is from RNAcentral.